CUUCUGGACACAAGAAAUCCUCCCUGCAGGCCCUUUAUCCAGGCAUACUUGAAGUCAUGUGUUUCUUCCAUCCACUCAGACAAAUCCUCCAUGCUUUACCAGGCAGUCUGCUCUGGGUUGAGAUGGCAACAUUCUUACAUACAGAGACUGGAAAUUAUGUUUUAAUGGCAAAUCAGAGACUACAUCUGGCCUCUCCCAUCAAAGUGAGGGACCCCAGAAGUAAUACCAUGACUUCAAUGACACAACAAUUAUUCAUGCAUACUGAGAAGUGAUCCAGCUCGACUGACUGCACUUGGAACAUCUACCUCCUAAUCUACUGGGCAAAUGGAAUCUAUACAUACAGGGUAAGAACCGUAAUUACCAAAGUGUUUGUGGUUUCUCUUUUCUAAGUGAAGUUACUCUUAAUAUGAAACAUGUAAAAGAGGAAUAUCAUAGAAGAAGCCUUAGACCUUAGAUCUUAUUCCAGAUCUGAUAUCCAUUAAAGUGGGAAAGCCAUACUCCCCCUUUGGGCUUCCAAUUCUACAUGUAAAUCUGGGAACUUCUAGUAGAUAACUAGUAAGCACUCUUUUCUCUGUGUGUUUCUAGGACUCUUUAAAUCUACAAAGAAAUUCAUAGUGGAAAACCACUGCAAAUAUUUUGCUGACAUCUCUUACAAAUCUACAUUGCUGCAUUGUACUAAGUAACACAGAUGAAGGGUAGGGAAGAUUUUCAUCUUCAAACCAAAUAGAAAAUUAAGUCAUCUCUAGAUGAGCCCCUUGACUAUGCCACUCCCAAAUUAAAGGAUCUAUCAUAUCUAGCCUCCUCAGAUGAAUUUGUGGUUUUAUAUUUUUUCUUAGUGGUGGACAAUAUGUCCCUACAUCUUAUUUUUUUAGAUAAAGAUGUGCUACUUGUGUAAACACACUCUUGUAGCCUUAGUAACAGGAAACACAGUGACCCAGGCAGUGAUGAGCUUGGGCCAGAGAUCUUAAUUUGAGUGAAUCUAUACUUUUCCUUUUUUGAUGUGGUAUAAUGUUAACUCUAGUCACCAAGUUGUGAAUUCCUUUUACCAACAACUCAUCAACACUAACUCUUGUACCCCAUCCCCCUAACCCCUGGUAUCCACCAUUAUACAUUAC
RNAcentral lists this long non-coding RNA (1115 nucleotides) under Callithrix jacchus (white-tufted-ear marmoset). RNAcentral's name for it is "lncRNA (ENSCJAG00000073305.1)". Lineage: Eukaryota; Metazoa; Chordata; Mammalia; Primates; Cebidae. The record is from RNAcentral.